Molecule: regulatory RNA element, 52 nt
Rfam family: terC RNA
Source: Rfam
GGUGCGUACCGGGCCCCUCUGGCGAGAAUGUCUCGUGAUGUCGGACGUAUCG